RNAcentral lists this long non-coding RNA (1808 nucleotides) under Cavia porcellus (domestic guinea pig). RNAcentral's name for it is "lncRNA (ENSCPOG00000030875.1)". The record is from RNAcentral. Lineage: Eukaryota; Metazoa; Chordata; Mammalia; Rodentia; Caviidae.
GCCCUGAGUACCUGCCAGCUGCACACGGGCUUCCCAGCAGGCACAGCCCAGUAUUUUCAUCCCCACCUCGGGCCUUCAGCUAGCCCGUGUGCCCAUCCUGGAGGGCUCCUGUCUGCUCAAGUCCUGCUCCUGCUCCAGUUCAAGUUCCAACUCCUUCUGGCCGUUCCCCUAAGACCACGCCAACUCCCAGGGAGCCUCACCUCUGCCUGUGCCAGCUCCUAUGGUGAGCAGAAGACAGAACCUAUGAGGAUGGCCCCGCAGAGAUGCUCUCUUGGUCUUGAGGGCAACGCAGGAACACAGAGCGAGGGCUGGGGGACAGAGGGCCCUGCCCACAGCAGGCAUGCUAUCUGCACCCUCUGGAUCAGCUGGUUGGGCAGCACAAGGGCACAGAUGAAGCCCUCUGCACAGGGUUCUCUGGCUGAGUGGGAGAACACUCGAGCAGACGACUAGCUCUCAUCGAGGCUCUGCACUGCCAGCUAGGUGACAGCAGCAGCAUGUCACCUCUACUGACUGCAAACCACACCCUUCCCUAAAAGUCAGAAAGUGCAGAUGACCUCAGAAAUCCCUUCCACAAACUUUUAAGUGAUUAGAAAAAAAUAACAGCACAGUCUUUAUUUAUUUUUGUCUUUUUGAGACAGGGUCUUGCUAUGCAGUUCAGGUUGGCUUUGAGCUCGUUUUGUAGCAGCCCAGGCUGGUCUCAAACUCACAACGAUCCUUCUGCCUCAGCCUCCCAAGUGCUUGACAGUAUCAGCUCAACAGUACAAUCUUAGGGACACUCUGAGCCGGAAUCAUGGGCCAAGGAUUACUCAGUAUCGACAUUAUCCAAUGCCAGCCAGCAUGCAGCCAUGAACACCUGAAAUACGGGCAGUGGGAAGGAAGAACUAAUGUGCAGUUUUAUUUAUUUGAAUUAUGUACUUCGCAUUUAAAUUUAUGUAGCCACACUGGUGGCCGGUGGCUGCCACACUGCACUGUGUAAUUCUAAGUGAAUUUAUGAAAUACAAGGCCUGUGAGAACUUUCUCCAUACAGCAAGCAAAAAGGCAAAACUUUUCUCCCAGUUUGAAAAGGCUAAAGCCUCUGAAAGGGCAGAAGCUCUGAGAAGUCCCUGAAGAAGUCUGGUGAGCCAGGGCUCCUGUUCUUGAGUUCUCAGUCCAGAUUUACCAACAACCUUCAUGGGGAGCUGGGAGGCCUCCCAGCCACUGCAACCUUGACCUCUCUAGGUCCCACUGCCCGCAGCUUCAGUAGGUGACCCUUUAAACACUGGGAGGCUGGGCAGGGCUGAGGGCAGAGGAGGAAGGUUUAGGCAUCCCAUGGAUGGACCCAACAUUCAACCAGAGAGUCUGUGCAGCUUACCUGCUGCAUAUGAAGACUUUUAAAAGGUUGUGAUACACUGAUCUGGAAAAAUACACAAGGGUUAAAACUUGAGCUGUGAACAGUACUCUGACUCUACCUAUCUGAGCUCAGAUACAUUUUUAGAAGUGCAGAGCAUGCAUCCCUAGGGUUGGACGGGCACAGACAAUUUCUGGAAGGUACACAAGAAAAUCCACAGAGGUGAUGUCUAAAGACUGGGAUUUCUAAAGUGCAGGAGGACAGUAGGGUGACUUGUAUGUGCAUUAUUGGUUUUAGUUAUUAACUAGUUUUCUAUUAUAACUAUAAAAGUUAAACCUGAUCAUGUUACAAACUCUGUCUAGAAUAUUACGUGGCCAAUAAAUAUGUUUAUAGAGAGAUUAACAGAGGAAAAUGUUUUCAGUAUAAUGCAAUUGGGGAAAACAGGAUACAAAUUGUGUCUUUGCUACAAUCACAAGGUCAG